RNAcentral lists this ribosomal RNA (1039 nucleotides) under Salmonella enterica. RNAcentral describes it as "bacterial SSU rRNA". It matches the Rfam family "Bacterial small subunit ribosomal RNA", at positions 239 to 1271 of the family's 1533-position model. Lineage: Bacteria; Pseudomonadati; Pseudomonadota; Gammaproteobacteria; Enterobacterales; Enterobacteriaceae. The record is from RNAcentral.
GAUUAGCUUGUUGGUGAGGUAACGGCUCACCAAGGCGACGAUCCCUAGCUGGUCUGAGAGGAUGACCAGCCACACUGGAACUGAGACACGGUCCAGACUCCUACGGGAGGCAGCAGUGGGGAAUAUUGCACAAUGGGCGCAAGCCUGAUGCAGCCAUGCCGCGUGUAUGAAGAAGGCCUUCGGGUUGUAAAGUACUUUCAGCGGGGAGGAAGGUGUUGUGGUUAAUAACCGCAGCAAUUGACGUUACCCGCAGAAGAAGCACCGGCUAACUCCGUGCCAGCAGCCGCGGUAAUACGGAGGGUGCAAGCGUUAAUCGGAAUUACUGGGCGUAAAGCGCACGCAGGCGGUCUGUCAAGUCGGAUGUGAAAUCCCCGGGCUCAACCUGGGAACUGCAUUCGAAACUGGCAGGCUUGAGUCUUGUAGAGGGGGGUAGAAUUCCAGGUGUAGCGGUGAAAUGCGUAGAGAUCUGGAGGAAUACCGGUGGCGAAGGCGGCCCCCUGGACAAAGACUGACGCUCAGGUGCGAAAGCGUGGGGAGCAAACAGGAUUAGAUACCCUGGUAGUCCACGCCGUAAACGAUGUCUACUUGGAGGUUGUGCCCUUGAGGCGUGGCUUCCGGAGCUAACGCGUUAAGUAGACCGCCUGGGGAGUACGGCCGCAAGGUUAAAACUCAAAUGAAUUGACGGGGGCCCGCACAAGCGGUGGAGCAUGUGGUUUAAUUCGAUGCAACGCGAAGAACCUUACCUGGUCUUGACAUCCACGGAAGUUUUCAGAGAUGAGAAUGUGCCUUCGGGAACCGUGAGACAGGUGCUGCAUGGCUGUCGUCAGCUCGUGUUGUGAAAUGUUGGGUUAAGUCCCGCAACGAGCGCAACCCUUAUCCUUUGUUGCCAGCGAUUAGGUCGGGAACUCAAAGGAGACUGCCAGUGAUAAACUGGAGGAAGGUAGGGAUGACGUCAAGUCAUCAUGGCCCUUACGACCAGGGCUACACACGUGCUACAAUGGCGCAUACAAAGAGAAGCGACCUCGCGAGAGCAAGCGGA